Paramuricea clavata is the source of this 635-nucleotide non-coding RNA. The record is from the annotation of a GenBank genome assembly. Lineage: Eukaryota; Metazoa; Cnidaria; Anthozoa; Malacalcyonacea; Plexauridae.
UCAACAUUACUAGGAUUUAUCUGUUGAGGAAAAAUGCGUACAUUUGAAUAAGUGAUUUGGUUGGGUUACGUUUGCACCAUGCCGGAUAGGUUUCCGUAGCGGCGCGAAAAAGCACAAUUGGGUCUGUUUCUGAGGGGUAAGAAAAUUAUACAAAAUUUCCGAAGGGGGAAGAAAAAUUUCCAAAUUUCCAAAGGGGUAGUUCCGUGAUGGAACCUCGUCAACAAGUAUUUCCGAAGGGCUUGAGAAAAAUCGUAAACUUCCAUAGGGGGUUCCGCAAAAAAUAGCAAAUUUCCGAGGGGGUCUUCCCAAAAACCGUUUCCGAACGGGUCUAAAAUCAGUAACCUCGUCAACAGGGGGGGGGUGGAUGUUAAAUGGAAUGGCCCGGUCGCAAAGCUUGUCAUCGCCAUAUAAUAUUACUUAAAUAAUUAAUGCAAUGCGGUUUUGAGCGCGCCAUUCAUAAAUGCGCGCUAUUCCAGCAGCAAGACAAUAAUUGGCAGUGAAUGAAUAUAUGUUCGCUUUUAUAUGUUCGCUUGUUUCAUGGGAUAUUCUUUUAUAUGUUCGCAUGCUAUGGGGAAUCAGAGGUUAAUUCAAGGAAAAUAUGUUGCCAAGUGAUUACAGAACAAAAGGUUCCAUGC